Papaver somniferum (opium poppy) is the source of this 1554-nucleotide long non-coding RNA. RefSeq lists it as uncharacterized. The transcript is spliced from 3 exons. The record is from RefSeq and is a predicted model, not a curated record. Lineage: Eukaryota; Viridiplantae; Streptophyta; Magnoliopsida; Ranunculales; Papaveraceae.
UUCUGAUGGGUAAAGAGAGAUUUAAUAUGGGGGACUAAACUGAAAUUGAAUGAUUCAAGGAAGGUUGAUGGUGAUUGUAUGGAAAAAAGAUCGAUAAUAUAUUGAUGUGAUCUCUCUUACACGUAUCCGAUCCGACAGUCCAUAGGAGAAUAAAUCAGUUCUGGGACCGACUGGAAAAAGGAUCCUCUCGUAAAACCCUAGUCCAUCUUCAAUUUCAGAUCCCAUCAGAUAGAGACGAUAUUGGUGAGUUGUUGUUUCCUUAGAACGUGAAUUAGAUAAGAAGAAGAACUGAUGCCAUCGAUUAACAGGGAUGAAGGGACUAGAUUCAAGGGUUAUUGGGUCUGUUGUGUGGAAGAAAAAAUGGGUUUUGUAGAGAUGUAGAUAUGGUAUGGUUGAUUGAGAAAGAUUGAGAAGAUGAUGUUGAGUCCGUGUGUAUGGUGAUGGUGAAAUGGGUUGUUAAACUGAUUCUGCGAUGAAGGUUAAUGGUGUUUGACUCAAGGAAGAGAUGGGUUCAGCAGGGGAGAGUCUUUUUUGUGUUGUGGGUGAUUUUUAAGAUGAACUAGGUGAAGAAUAGGGGUGAACAACGGAUAGAUUAAUGUUUGCAGGAAGAAGGCCUGAACCUGGACGGAAAAUGGCUGAGAAACAAACAGAACCCGGACGACGUAGAGUCCAAUGACCGAUCUCAGUGCAGAAUUGGUCCGAUUCAACUCAGUAAAACAGCCAAUAAGGUCGUUUUUUCUAUUGACUCGGCGAUUCAAGUGGAUUCGGUUCGACUCAGUAGGAAGGGCUUUUUAGACUUUUUAACACUUCCACCUAAGUGUUAACGCCUGCUAACUGUUGUUUCCCGUUUUUUUAAAUAAAACGAUCAAGGAAAAGGCAUUUUGACAAAUUUCUAAAAAACAGGGACAUUUUUUUUAAUAUAAUGUGAAAAGUAAGGGUACUUUAUCAAAAAGCCCAAUCAAAAGCCUUCUAAGAAAUUUCUUCUAGGGCUUCAAUUAAUAUUUCUUUCUAUACUACAAUGGGUUUCUGAGCAUAGCUUCAAACUUCUUAAAUCUGAUGUUAUAUCUGGUCUUCCAACUGCUAGCUUGCCUAUACCUCAGGGAAUUUAUGCUAAGUUGGCAAAUUUUCCUUCUAUUCAUGGACUAUGUAAGCACUUUACAAUUCCUUUUCUUGACAAUUGUUUUCUUUGUACUACCAUUGUUGCAUGCAAUUCUCGGAAGUUCAAGACAUUUAGCAGGUGGUCAAGUAUCAAUAACAUCACUAGUAAUGGGUUCUAUGCUUAAAGUAUUCUCACCAACUGAAGACCCAACUCUAUAUCUGAAAGUGACUCUCACUUCAACAUUCUUUGCUGGUGUAUUUCAGACAUCUUUGGAUCUACUUAGGUUAGGCUUCAUAAUCGAUUUCCUAUCGAAACCGACUUUAACCGUGUUCGUUGUAAGUCUACAACAGCUUAAGGGAAUGCUUGGAAUUACUCACUUUACUCCUAAGAUGCAAAUUGUCAAUGUACUGUCUUUUGUUUUUAGCACCACAAAAGAGGCAUACAUAUGGCUAGGA